UACGAAGGGGGCUAGCGUUGCUCGGAAUGACUGGGCGUAAAGGGCGCGUAGGCGGUUUGCACAGUCAGAUGUGAAAUUCCUGGGCUCAACCUGGGGGCUGCAUUUGAUACGUGUGGACUAGAGUGGGGAAGAGGGUCGUGGAAUUCCCAGUGUAGAGGUGAAAUUCGUAGAUAUUGGGAAGAACACCGGUGGCGAAGGCGGCGACCUGGUCCUUGACUGACGCUGAGGCGCGAAAGCGUGGGGAGCAAACAGG
RNAcentral lists this ribosomal RNA (253 nucleotides) under uncultured bacterium. Its description in RNAcentral is "partial 16S ribosomal RNA". It matches the Rfam family "Bacterial small subunit ribosomal RNA", at positions 524 to 776 of the family's 1533-position model. The record is from RNAcentral.